ACACGACACUCUGGAAAGCGGACGCGGCCCGGCCACGUCCCACCGAAGGGGUAAGCCAGGCGACUGGCGAAAGCUCUCAGGUUCCGUGACAGAGGGGGCGAU
RNAcentral lists this non-coding RNA (102 nucleotides) under Hammondia hammondi. RNAcentral describes it as "Glycine sequence". It matches the Rfam family "Glycine riboswitch aptamer". From Rfam's summary of the family: This family represents the bacterial glycine riboswitch. Glycine riboswitches usually consist of two metabolite-binding aptamers domains with similar structures in tandem. The record is from RNAcentral. Lineage: Eukaryota; Apicomplexa; Conoidasida; Eucoccidiorida; Sarcocystidae.